Molecule: long non-coding RNA, 15455 nt
Filed under: Zostera marina
Lineage: Eukaryota; Viridiplantae; Streptophyta; Magnoliopsida; Alismatales; Zosteraceae
Description: long non-coding RNA (ZMAR_LNC002148)
Source: RNAcentral
GAAAAAAUUUCUGAAUGCGUCGCAUCUUAUUGUAAGAAUAAGAAAUUAGUUAUAACUAUCUAAGGGUAGUUAUGUAAAUUUGUAUUAGUUUACUAGUUAUAAAUACAGAGUUAUAUGUAAACAGAUAAUUAAGUUGAACACUUACUUUGAAUAGUAUAUUGGGUUUGUUAAACCUAGUUCAUCAUCAUCAUCUUCUUCUUCUUGAUAACUCAGAUACUACGAUCUACUCUGAGUUAUAAUCCUUACAUGGUGUCAUUCGCUACAGGCGUUGAUCUGGGAUUUCUUCUGCCUUUUCCACUUACCCAAAUCGGUAUAUUCAAGUCCGAUUUCUUUCCGCUAUCUGAUCGGGUUUGUUGUUCGUUGGCAGUUUGCGAUUUUUUUUUUCUGGGCUACCCAAUGAGUUCCGAAUCAGAUGUGAUAACUCCUGCAAUGAUCGGCUCAAGAGAGACAAUGGCUCUGAAUCAAAUGUCCUACAGCUUGAAUUCGCUAUGUUCCAAUCCGAUAACCCGUGAGACCUUUUUGUCAUGGAAAAAUCAGAUUGAAGGGGUGCUUAGACAUCACAAGUAUCUUAGUUUCGUGAGACGCACAUUGGUGAUACCUUCAGCUAGGCUUGAGGAUGGAACAAAAAAUCCAACAUUUGAGAUACAUACAAAAAUUGAUGAAAUAGUAUUGAGCUGGAUCAAGGCGACUGUUUCACCCCCAAUUCAAACAAUCAUCAUACGAUGCAAAACUUCUAUGGAGGCGUGGGAGCUGUUAGAGAAGGAAUAUUCUCCGAUUGGCAAGUCAAAAAUGCAAUCACUCCGGGAGAAAAUGUGGGGUUUAAAGAAAACCCCUGAGGUAUUAAUGUCUGAUUAUUUACUACAAUUUAAAUCACUAAAAAAAUUCUUUGCUAGCAACUGGAUAUGAAAUUCACGAUGAUCAUGUUGUUGAAUAUGUUUUGGAUGAGCUUGGUAGUGAAUAUAGGAUAUUUUUAUCUACUCUAAAUUCUAAAGAUACAUUUACAUUUGAACAACUAUCUGAUUGGCUAGUUAAGGAGGAUACCAUGAUUAGAAGAGUUGAUGCAAAACAGAAUUUAUGUGAUUUUUCUGUUAACUAUGCAUACAAAAAGGGUUAUAAGGGAAAAUCUUAUGGAUACAAACCUAACAACAAACAGAAUUAUUCUAAUCAGAAUAAUGCUCCUAAAACAGUAACAAUACCUAAGCCUUUGAAUCCCAAUAACAAACCACCUCUACUGAAUGUUCCUGAAUCCUUAAAUAUUAGUCAUGACUGUCAAAUAUGUGACUAACAUGAACAUCUAGCUAAGAAUUGUCCAGAGAUAUGUAAUUUUUCUGCAUACAUUGUGGAUCAGCAAGAUGAUUAUCCAGAGAUAGAGGAAAAUUCAGAAAAUAAGGAGUAUACAGUUCAUAAUAUUGAAGAUCAACCAAAUUAUUCGAGUGAACUGUAUAACAUGGAUAUUGGUGUCUAGACUCUGGUGCAUCCACUCACACAACCUUAGAGGAAGUCUACUACUCAGAGAGCAAACCAUAUACAGGUAAAUCCAAUGUUAAAGUAGGUAAUGGAUAAAUUAUUCCUAUUUCUAGAAUAGGAACAAUUAUUUUUUAUGUUAAUGGCAAAGAAUUCAAAAUAACUCAGGUAUUGUGUGUACCUCAGUUAGAUAAAACUUUGAUCUCUGUUCAAAAAUUAGCAUCUGAUAUGAAUGUAUCUAUAAUUCUAAAUAAAAAUGAUUUUUUGGUAAAGGAUGUGAAGACGAAGGAAAUUUUGUUCACUGGGAUUAGUAACAAAGGAUUGUACCACUUCACACCAGAUUUUCAUAAUUAUGAAUGUUAUAGACUUGAUAUUUCUGAAGACGUGGCACAAGAGAUUAGGACACCCUUCAGCUCAGACUUUUAAAAGAAUAACUCCUUAUAUUUCUGUAGAUAGGACUGUGAAUAAAAAAUUCUGUAAUAAUUGCCCAAUGGGCAAAAUACAUCUGUUACUUUUUGUUAAAAGUUCAAUAAAUACAAUAAAAUGUUUUAAUAUAAUUUAUCUAGAUGUUUGGGCUGCUCCUGUAAUGUCAAGGAAAGGUUUUAGAUAUUUUUUAACAAUAGUGGAUGACAAAACUAGAUACACUUGGUUUGCUCCACUUUACAAUAAAAGUGAUGUGAUAACUGAAUUUAUAGCCUUCUCAAAAAUGGUAACAAAUAAAUUUCAAACACAUAUUAAGAUGGUCCAAUCUGACGAGGGAGGUAAAUUUAAAUCACAAAACUUUAUAAAAAAUUUAAAAACUAAUGGUAUUACAAUUAGGUAUAGUUGUCCAUACUCUCCUCAACAAAAUGGUGUUGUUGAGAGAAAACAUAGACAUAUUGUGGAAAUGUCUAGAUGUUUAUUUCAUCAGUCAAAAUUAUCUCAGAUUUUUUGGCCUGAGGUAAUAGAGACUUCAAUAUUUUUAAUAAAUAGAUUUUACCUACACCUAUUUUUAAGGGUCUUUGUCCUAAUCAGGAACUUUUAGGAAAGAAACCUGCCAGUGUUAAAAGGCUUUGGUUGUAGUUGUUUUCCUCUUAUUCGCUCAAGAUAUAGGAAUAAGUUUGAUCCAAAAAGUGUUGAGUGUGUUUUCUUUGGAUACUCUGCACAACACAAAGGAUACAAGUGUCUUGUUUUAAGUUCUGGGAAAACUAUAAUUUCCAGAAAUGUAAGAUUUAAUGAAGAAUGCUAUCCAUUAGAAGAGCUAGGCUUAAACAAUGAGAGUAAGAGCAAAAAGACUGGGAAUAAUUUUAAUUCAAUUUCCAGUAUUAUCACUUUUUCCAAUGUUUUUAAUCAUAGGAAAGUAAUUAAGGAAAUAGAGGAGAUGAGUGGAGAUAUAAGUCAGCCUACAAAAUUAAUAGUUAAAAAAUUAGAUACUCCUAAUACUAUUAACAACUUACCCUCUGAAAAGUUUCCUAUUAAAGAAAUAACAGUGAUGGAAAAGAAUCAUGAACCAUCUUCUUCUAAAAACCUGGAUGAUUCAAUUCCACUUAGGAUUCCUGAUAUAAAUCUAGCAUGUGAUGAAAAUAAUACAAUUUCUGAUUUAGGGAAACAAAAUAACAAGGAAGGUAUAAAUUCUGAUCAAAAUCAGAAUAAUAGCUUAAAUAUUUAGAAUAAUGUUCUGUCAACAAGACAUGCUGCUGGAAAUAUAAAUCCAGAAGUUAAUCUAUCAAAAGAAUCUAAUGUAGGGAAAGCAAUAGCUGAUUUAGAAAAACAGCACUCCCUAAUUAAUAUCUCAAAUACUAGACAAGAAAGGUCAAAAAUACAAUCUAAUGAAAAAUCAAUCAUAAAAAUUAAUUCACCUAAAAGUUUGAAUGUAGUUAAAGCAGUAGCUAAUUUAGAAAUGAAAAUUAAUAAUGAUCUAUUACAACAACAAAAAACCAAAAGGAUAAGUAAAAAACCUAAAUAUUUAGAAAACUUUGAGUGUUCUUUAGCUGAAAAUAUUGAUGAAAAAGAACCAACUUGUUUUAGUCAAGCUUCAAAAUUAACUGAAUGGAUGAAAGUAAUGAAUGAAGAAAUUCAUGCUUUAGAUCUUAACAAGACUUGGACUCUUGUUUGUCCUAAACCUAAUAUGAACAUUAUAGGAAGUAAAUGGGUUUUUUAAAUAAAAAGAAAGGUUGAUAGGACAAUUGAAAGAUAUAAGGCUUGGUUAGUGGCUAAGGGUUUCGAUCAAGAGGAAAGGGUAGACUAUGAUCUUACCUAUAGUCCAGUAAUUAGAGUAUCAACAGUAAGAACUAUAAUUGCUCUUGCUGUAAGCUUUAAAUGGCCUUUAAGACAACUAGAUGUAAGGAAUGCUUUUUUAAAUGGCUAUAUCACAGAGGUAGUAUACAUGAAACAACCUACAGGAUUUGUUAAUAAAAAUAAUCCUAAACAUGUGUGCUUGUUAAAUAAAGCACUAUAUGGACUAAAACAAGUUCCAAGAGUUUGGUACUCUAGAUUGCAAUUAUUCUUGAUUAAUCUAGGGUUCUGUAAUAGUAAAUCAGAUUCUUCCCUGUUUUGUUUGGCUAAUGAUGAGAUAAAAAUCUACAUACUAGUUUAUGUAGAUGAUAUAAUUAUAACUGGGGACAAUAAUGCUAAGAUAGAUGAGUACAUCUCAUUUAUUUCUCAGACCUUUGCCUGUAGAGAUCUGGGGAAUUUGCAUUUCUUUCUAGGGCUUGAGUGUAUCAGGAAGAAUGAUGGAAUAAUAAUGUUUCAAGGGAAAUAUAUCAAAGAUCUAUUAGAAAAAUUUGGAUUAAGUUCAUGCUCACCAUGUCCAACUCCUAUGAAAAUUUCACCUAAGCUUACAAAGAUUGAUGGUACAACUAUAGAAGAGGUAACUUUAUAUAGGAGCAUGGUAGGUUCAUUACAAUAUCUGGCUCUAACAAGGCCUGCUAUAGCUUUUUAAGUCAAUAAUGUGAGUCAAUUUUUGCAAAAUCCAUCAGAUAUGCAUAUGAUAGCAGUAAAAAGAAUUUUUAAAUAUUUACAAGGAAUUUUUAAAUAUUUUUAAACCACAUACCAGAACUCCACCUUCUCUAGAAGAAGAUGGACCUGAAUUCAAUGAUAACAUCACUUCUAAAAAUCCAAGCUCAAUCAACCUCAAGUGAUCCCACCACCAAGUCUAGAAGGCCAAGUAAAAGGCCGGGAUACCUAAAUGACUACUUCUGCUCUUUUGCAACAAGCAAAGGAAACUCAAAAGGAACUUCAUUUCUAAUGCAUGAUUACAUAACCUACAAAAAGCUAUCAUCUUCCUGUUGGAUCGAGAUCCGAGGCUAUAAGGGGGGAUAAUAGCCUCUUUUCAAUUUAUGCAAGUUAAUAGCGGAAUUACCUGCACACACUUAAGUACACAAAUAGUUGUAUAAUAAUAAUAGUAUAAUAUUCUUAGCAAUACAAUACUAUUAUAUAAUUUUAAAGAAUAUAAUAUUAUAUCUUAUAAUAUUAUAUAUUGGACUUGCCUUUUACUCUUGAAGUUUACUACAGUAUAUGAAUACGUAGUCAACUUUUCAGAUGGUGUUUUAUAAACAACUAUAGUAUAUGAAUACUAAGUUAUAUUAUAAACACAAGUUAUAUUAUAGAGUAAAUGACUAGAUAACUGGAUAUAUUGAUAAGCAAGUAAAUGACCAGAUAACUGGAUAUAUUGAUAAACAAGUAAAUGACCAGAUAACUGAAUAUAUAUAUGAUAAGUAAAUGCUUGAACAAAUAUAUGAAUAAAGAUUUAAAGCAAUGAAUAUAACCUCAGAUAGUUGACCAGAUAACUGGAUGAGGGAUCUGCGUAAAGUAGUCAACCUCUGUAUUUGACCAGAUAACUGGAAGAGGGAUCCUUUUCAAUUAAGUGUUGUUUAGUUGUUUUUAGAUGAAAGAUAAAAACUAGAGUUAACAAAGAACAACACAAGAGAUUUAUACUGGUUCACCCAAACAAGGGCUAGUCCAGUCCCGACCAACUGCCGGAAUUCACUCGCCUAAAGGUUAUGGCAAAACCAUAGAGUAUCAAGGAAACUCUUAAGAACCUUUCUAAGCUUUAAGGCUACUUCGCUUAGGAACCAGUCUUUUACGGGUAGACUCACACCUUAGAGUAUCAAUGACACUCUUAAGAAUCUCUAACUUUUGCGGGUAAGUUAGUACCUUAAAGUAUCAAGGAACUCUUAAAAACCUCUCUAAGCUUUAAGGCUACUUCGCUUAGGAACCAGUCUUUUACGGGUAGACUCACACCUUAGAGUAUCAAGGGCACUCUUAAGAACCUCUAACUUUUACGGGUAAGUUAGUACCUUAGAGUAUCAAGGAACUCUUAAAAACCUCUGAAAUCUUUCAAGGUAGACUCGACCUAAGAGUUUUCCCAGAAACUCUAUAAAACCAAACUAGAGCUUUAUGGUUGAGCUCAAAAACCUUCUCUCACACUUUGGUACUAUUGACACAACCCUCUCAACCAAAGUGGACACACACAAGAGAAGAUUAGAGGAGUGGAAUAUUAAAGCAAACAACACUUCUUACUUGUAAAGAUGAACAAGAAGAUUAGAAGAAGAAGUUGGAGAGCUUUUGAAGCUUUGGAAAGCUAUGACACUUGAGCACUUGAAAGCUUGGAAGCUUGGAGGCAAAAACGUGUGGGCAAGUGUGGAGUGAAAGAUCUUGAGUUUGCUUGUAGUGUUGUGAGUGAAAAUGAGGGGAUUAUCCUUCUAUUUAUAGCCUUGGCCACUCAAUGUCCACCCUUGGAUCUUCAAUGGAUGGCUCUUUGAUUUCUCACAUAAAUCCAAGCUUUGUCUUUGAUCUUAUCUUGAAUAGUGCUUUUCUUGGAUAGAGUUUGUUGGAGAAUCUUAUCUUUGUAUAAAUUCAAACUUGAAUAGUGUUUUGUCCCAUUGAAAUAUUAUACCUUGAAUAAAGUGUCAAAAGAUAAUAAUAAUAAUAUUCAAGGUAAAAAUGCAAUUAUUCCAAAUAAUAAUAUUCAAGGUGAAAAUACAAUUCUCCCAAUUUGACUUUUAACUUUGACUUAAACCCUUAACUCAAAUGAUUAAUUAAUUAACUGGAGUUAGGUUUAAUAUCGAUUGACUUAUUUACCCCUUUUGAUUAAUAGUGUAAUUAGGGUUUAAAUUGACAUGAUUAAAAUAUAAUCAUAUAUCGACAAUUUUGAUUCUAUCUACACUUCCCAUACUGAUUUCUUAGACAAAAUCUCUAUCACUAGUGAACCAUCCUCUUACAAACAAACCAUACUUGAUCCCCAAUGGAUCAAAGCAAUGAAUGAAGAGCUAUCGGAAUUAAACAAAACUUGGGAAAUUGUCCCAAGACCCAAUGAUAGAAAAAUAAUUGGAUCUAGAUGGGUAUAUAAAAUCAAGUAUAAAUCCAAUGGUGACAUUGAAAAAAUAUUGGAUUGAAGCCAAUUUUGAUAUACAUUAUAAGACAAGUAUGAUAUGAUAAUUUAAAUUGCCUUGUGCUAAGAUCAUGCAAUGAAUAAUAAUCCAUGUGUGUGUUAUGGAUGAAGAUGAUCUUAUCAUGUAUGGAUUAAAGAUUUUAUAAUGUUAUAAUCCAUAAGAUAUUAGUGAAUGAUAUGUAUAAAUCCAUAAUAUUCACUAAUUGCUUUAAGAAGACAUUGAGCAUUUAAAAUUUUAAAAUCUAUGUCUUAGUGACAAAUAUAAUCAUGUAAAUAUUCACUAAGUUUUAAAAGAUUUAAAAUUUUCAUUUCAGUCCUUAAAGCCUUAGUAGUAAAACUUCACUUAAAAUAAAAUUUCAUUUAAGCCCUUUGAAGUUAUAAUAAAUACUUAGAUUAAUACUUGAAAUAUUUCAUGUAAACCUUGGAAGUAUUAACCAAUUCUAAGCAUUGAAAACUUCAUGUAAAUAUUAAUUUUAAGUCCUUGAAGUUUUAACUAAAUAUUUAUUCACUGUAAAGAUAUCAUCUUGACCCUUAAGGUUUAGUGAAUCUAUUAGAACUUAAAAACUUCAUAAACGAUUUACGUUUAAGUCCUUGAAGUUUCACAAAACUUUAUAUUCACUGAACAAUAUAACUUUAAUCCUUAAGCUUCCAGUGAAUUAUUUUAAACUUAGAAACUUCAAACAUAAUUUAUGUUUAAGCCCUUGAAGCUUCUAGUUUAUUCAUACAACUUAGUGAGAAAUUGAUUUUUCAUUGAAGUUUUUUUUCACUAACAAUAAAGCAAGCUUAGGUCUAUGGUUAGACCUUAAACAAAACAGACUUAAACAAAGUAGAAACAUCUAUUUAACAGAUGUUGUACCAUCGAUCAAACGAAAAAGGAACAUCUAAAUCAGAUAGCAUCGAGUAGGCAUAGCAAGCUAAUCACAACCAUGGUUGAUGGUGUUAGCUUCCUCAGUGGGAACUUUUAACAUCUCGAUUUGAUAUUGCAAGUCUGCGAUCAGAGCUCCUUGGUUUUUAAUACUUGAUUCCAGCACUUUAAUCCUUGAUUUUGCCUCAUCGAUCUCUUUAAACAGGUGAGUAGUUAUCUCAGAUUGACUUACUUGCUUCUUCCCUGUGAUGAGAUCCAUCACCUUUUUCCAGUCUGGAUCAUAAGAAUCCAUUUUGAAGAUGAUAGGAAUGGGUGAGAAAGGAAGGUUUUGGUUUGAGAGUGAACAACCUAGUAUUUAUAGAUGAAGCUUUUAGGUUUCCAAGAAUUUCUUGUUUUUGGUUUGACUAAGCCAUGAAAAAUCGUUUUAUCUUGUAGUCUCCUUCUCAAAAGAGGGUUCUUUAAUUUCCCAUGUACUGACAUGACUUGUUAGAUUUAACAAGUAAUGAGAUUUUGAAACUAUCAUCUAAGAGCUAGCUAGGAUCUUAGCAAGGCUUGUAUUUUAGUGGCUUGUAACCAGAAUAAUAUUUAAUUUAAAACAUACCUUUUGGUGGUCUUCAAUGCAUUCUUUGCACUAUGCACGAUAGUCCAUGCUCCUAGUUGUCGUGAGUGACUAGUUAUGACAGGUUUGCUAGAUGAAGUUGCAGCAUCGAUGUUGUAGAAUGUGCAGAAGACGAUUCUCAAUGCCAUGAGGUAAGGUUUGGAUUACCAAUACCAUGUGAUGUUGAUUUUGCUCAAUAUAUUAUAUUCAAGAUAUGACAUAAUGCAGUAUGGUGCAACAUAAUAUUAAUUUCAUAAUUUUUCCAUACAUGUAAGUGAUGACAUGUCAUAUGCAUGAGUCAAUUUAAACAGUAGUAAAGACAUGACAUAUUUUGGCAUAAUCAUUUCAUAAAAUUAUAAUUUUCAUUGUAUACACAUCGUUUGUUCACUUGUAGAUCAUGUAUGUGAAUGAUAAGCAUGUCCAUGUAAACAACUAUUUAUAGUAGCAUGCAAUGUAUUAACAGCGUUCAAUUGUAAGCAUGCAUCUAAUUUAUAGUAACAUGGCAUAUACGAUAGUCAUGCAUUCAAGUUAAGCUCUUCACGUUAUGCAUGCAAAUGAUGAAUUAUAUGUAUAUACUUAGUCAUGUAAAUCUUAGAUUUGUAAAUUCAUGCAUACGUAUAUUCAUUAUGAUCAAAGUUAUAAGUAUAACGAUAUUCAAGUGAAGAAUAAAACCUGAGAUGCAUUAACUCAUAACUAAUCAAAUUUCACUAAGCUCACAUAUACCCAUAGAUCUUCUGAUUUUUGAAUGAACUUCUUGAUCUAAAGGUUUAGUGAAGAUGUCAGCCAUUUGAUCUUCAGUAGAAAUAUAUUCUAGGCAUAUAUUUUUCUUUUCUACAUGAUCUCUAAGGAAAUGAUGUCUGACAUCAAUGUGUUUAGAUCUUGAAUGUAACACAGAGUUUUUUGAUAAACAAAUUGCACUCUUGUUGUCACAUUUAAGAGCUACUGUUUCUAAAGCUAUAUCGUAGUCGGAUAAUGUUUGUUUCAUCCACAAAAUUUGAGUGCAUGCAUUAGAUGCUGCCAUAUAUUCUGCUUCAGUUGUGGAUAAAGCAAUACUAUUUUGCUUUUUACAUGACCAUGCUACGAGUGAGCUUCCCAACAGAAAGCAUGUUCCACUAGUGCUUUUUCUGUCAGUCUUGCAUCCACCAAAGUCAGCAUCACAGUAUGCUGUUAGUGUGAAUGAGUUGUCCUUAGGGUAGAAUAAUCCAAGUGUAAUUGUUCCUUUGAUAUACCUGAUUAUUCUUUUAACCGCAUUGAGAUGUGACUCUUUUGGGUCUGAUUGGAAUCUAGCACAUAAGCAGACUGCAAACAUGAUGUCUGGUCUGCUGGCUGUUAGGUAUAGCAGUGAUCCAAUCAUUCCUCUGUAUUUCUUAAUGUCUACUGAUUGACCUUCAACAUCUUUGUCCAAUUUAAGAGUUGAACUCAUCGGAGUUGGCAUAGAUUUAGAUUCAGUCAAGUCAAAUUUCUUUAUUAAUUCCUUAGCAUAUUUGACUUGACUUAGGAAUAUUCCAUUCUCCUUCUGUUUGACUUGUAGACCUAAGAAAAAAGUCAACUCUCCCAUCAUACUCAUUUCAAAUUCGUCUUCCAUUUGUUUGGAAAAUUUCUUACAUAGAGUAUCAUCGGUUGAUCCAAAUAUAAUGUCAUCAACAUAGAUUUGAAUUAGAAUAAUGUCACUUUUGACAUUUUUAAUGAACAAUGUAUUAUCUAUACUCCCCAUUCUAAAUUCCUGAGAAGUGAGAAAGUUUCUUAGUCUUUCAUACCAAGCUCGGGGUGCUUGUUUCAGGCCAUAGAGGGCUUUCUUAAGUUUAAGGACGUGAUCAGGGUUUUUGUAAUCUUCGAAACCAGGGGGUUGUCUAACAUAUACUUGUUCAUUGACUAUUCCAUUCAAGAAUGCACUCUUUACAUCCAUUUGAUAUAAUUUGAAAUCUUUGUAGCAUUCAAAGGAUAGGAGCAUUCCGAUAGACUCUAGUCUAGCUACUGGUGCAAAGGUUUCAUCAUAAUCAAUUCCUUCUUGUUGAUUGUAUCCUUGCACAACCAGUCUAGCUUUGUUUCUGACUAUAGUUCCAUCUUCAUCCAGCUUGUUUCUGAAUACCCAUCUUGUCCCAAUGAUUGAUGUAUCUUUUGGUUUUGGAACUAGUUCUAUACAUCAUUUCUCUCAAAUUGGUUGAGUUCUUCUUGCAUAGCUUGAAUCCAGUAGUUGUCGUCGAGGGCUUCAUCAACUUUCUUGGGCUCAAUUUGAGAGACAAAACAGUCAAGAACACUGUUUCCUUGAAUGGAUGAUCUGGUUUUAACACCAGCUUGAUGGUCACCAAUGAUUUGAUCAGUGGAAUGUGGGUUCCUGAGCAACCUAUUGGAUGGAAGCUCAAAGACUUCGAUUUCGACAUUGGUAGUUUCUUCAGUUGGAAUGAUGAUUUCUGGUUCUGGAACUAUUUCAUCUUCUUCUACAAUGGUUGUCUGAGUGGAUUCAUCAAAGUCAAUGUGUAAUGAUUCGAUCAUUAUUUGUUUUUCUUUGAGAAGAAUUUUGUAGGCUUUGCUCCUUCUAGAGUAUCCUACCAGGAUACCUUCAUCAGAUUUCUGAGCAAAUUUGUCUUGGUUGCCUCUUGUUCGGAGAACAUAACAUUUGCAUCCAAAGACCUUGAAGUGUGAGACUUUUGGCUUUCUUCCAUUCUAGAUCUCAUAUGGAGUUUUGUUCAAGGUUUUUCUAAUAAUCACCUUGUUUAAUAUAUAACAGGCUGUGUUAACAGCUUCUGCCCAGAGAUACUGUGGUGAAUCAUGUUCUUGUAACAUGGAUCUACUCAUCUCUUGUAGAGUUCUGUUUUUCCUUUCAACAACUCCAUUCUGAGGGGGUGCUUGGGGAAAAGCAAAUUCAUGUUUUAUUCCAUAAGUUUUGCAAAAUUCUUCAAACUCAGAGUUUUUGAAUUCUCCUCCAUAAUCACUUCUGAUUCUUUUUAUGAGAACAUCCUUCUCAUUUUGUACACGUGUACAAAAUGAUGAGAACUCGUUGAAUAAGUCACUUUUAUUUCGUAAGAAGAAAACCCAAGUAAAUCUUGAGUAAUCAUCUACUAUUACAUACGUAAACCUUUUACCGCCAAGACUUUGGGUUUGGGUUGGCCCAAAUAAGUCCAUGUGUAGAAGUUCCAAAGGUCUGGACAUAGUAAUAUCUGUAAGGGAUUUGAAUGAGCUUUUAUACUGUUUCCCUUUUUGACAAGCAUCACAGAGAUUACUUUUCUCAUAUGCUAUUUUAGGCAGUCCAGUCACCAGUUCUUCUUUUGAUAGUUUGGAUAAUCGAGAAUAACUGGUGUGACCUAACCUUCUAUGCCAUAAAGUCUUUUCAUCACUUGCUGCGAUCAUGCAGAAGUCAUAAGUUAGCUUGGAGGGAUUAAAGGUUAUGGAAUAAGCAUUGUUUUUCCUAUAUCCUUUAGCAAUUAUAACUCCCUUGGAGUUAAUGAUUAAGCAUAGAUGUUUUUCAAAUUUAACUGUGCAAUCAUUAUCACAUAAUUGACUUAUGCUGAUAAAAUUAUGUUUAAGUCCAUUAACUAAGUAAACAUUUCUAAGAAAUGGUCUAUCUAUAUUACCUAUAAUACCCCUACCUACAAUGGUACCUUCGUUGUUAUCGGCGAACUUGACCUUCUUAGUAGUAGGCCAGUCAGUCAAGUCUGUCAGCAGACUUGAAUCUCCAAUCAUGUGCCUUAUGCAUCCACUGUCGAACAACCAUUUUGACAUAUGUUUUUCCUAAAAGAGUUGAAUAACCUUUUGGUACCCAUACUGAGUUGGGUCCAGAUGAAUUAACAUAGUUGAUUUGCUUAUAAUUUUUUAACUCAUCCUUGGUCAUCCAUUUUUGUUUUGGAUGAUUCAUCUUAGAUAGAUCUUUCUUUUUCUUAAGAUGAAUAGGUUUUCUGUAGCUAGAUUCUCUUACAAAAUAAUCAUUAUAAGUUAAAGCAUGUAAAGGUUUUUUAAUAGGUGCACUUGAUUCAAACCCUAAGCCAAAUUUCUUUUGACCUGAGCUUGAACCUUGCAAUAUGUCAUUUAGCUUAGAUGAACUAUUUGAGAAUUUUUCAAGAAUAUUAUUCUUCUGACCUAUUCUUUUGAUUUGUAAUUGCAUAUCAUUACAUUUUUCAGAUAAUUUUUGUAUGGUUUCUACAUGCUCAAGUAUGAUUUUGUCCUUAGAUUCUAUUUCUGUUUUGAGCAUGAUUGUUUCGUUUUCUUUUAACAUAAUAUCAUCUUCAAAAUUAUCUAUUUUUAAUUCUAGCAAUUCAAUCUUAUCAUCAUCCAUUUCCUUAGAUUGAUUUUCUUCAGAUUCUAAAAUGUUAAGCAAUUCAAAGUUUUGACUCUUAAGUAUCUUAAUUUUUUCUUCAUCUUUGUUUAAUUUACUUGUGAGUUUUAGAUUUCUUUCUUUCAAUUGCAUGCAUUCUUUUUGUGAUUCUUCUAAUUCAAUUGAUUGAUUUAUAUGUGAUUUAUUCAUGCAUUAUAGUUUUAAUGACUUAGUUAAUUUUUUCUUAUUUUUAUAUUUUUCCAUUAAUUCUAGAUAUGCUUCUUCUAAAGAAUUAAAUCUAGUAUUUGCAAAACUUACCUCAGAGUUGCUUUCAUGAGCCAUGAGACAAUCUUCUUGAUCCGAGUCGGAGUCUGUCCAUUGUGCCUGAUUUGCUCUUUCUUUCUUUAGCAGAGGACAUUCUGGUUUGAUGUGUCCCGACUUGUCGCAUAGAUAACAGAUUGGUUCUUUUGACUCCUUGCUCAUUCUUCUGUCGAACUUCUGAUGACUUGACCUUGAGUCUUUCUUCUCUUUCCUCUUUUUCAGAUAUCUUCUCAGAUGAUUGGUGAUCAUUGCUAGAUCAUCUUCUGAUGUUUCAUUGUCAGAUUGACUUUUAAGAGCAAUAUCCUUUUUCUCUUCUUUACCUCUAGAGAUGAAUCUUUCUUCUUCAUAGGCCAUCAGAUUUCCACAGAGUUCCACAACUGUAAGUUUGUUGAGAUCAUGAGCCUCUUGGAUAGCAUUCCUUGUGGAGUAGUACUUGUUUGGAAGGCUCCUCAGAAUUUUGCUUACUUGCUUAUUCUCAGUUAUUGGAUCUCCUAGUCCAGCCAGAUCAUUAACUAUUUGUGAUAGUCUAAUGUUCAUCUCUGCGAUAGUCUCGUCUUCCUUCAUAGAGAAUCUUUCGAACUGAGAGGUAGCAUGUAACAGCUUGUUUUUUUUAACAUGGGAGGUUCCUUCAUGUAGAUCCUCCAAUGCUUUCCAUACCUUGUGAGCUGUAUCCAAGCAUCGAAUUCUGUUGUACUCAGAUUCAUUGAGUGCUCCAUAUAGAGCAUUCAAUGCUCUUGAGUUGUUGUUUUCCUUGAGGAUGUCCAUUUCUCCCCAAGUCUCUUCAUUGCUUGUUGGAAUUUCAUAAUCCUCUAAUAUGAUCUUCCAUACUCCAUUGUUGAUUGACUUUAAGUAUAACUUCAUCUUGUUCUUCCAGAAGUCAUACUUUACUCCAUCGAACCUGGGAGGUUUGUUUGACACAAGACCAGUGUUGAAUUCACCAUUUGGUGCCAUAGUUGUUGUUGUAAGAUGUUAGUCAAACUUCAACGGUACUUGGCUCUGAUACCACUUGUUGGAUCGAGAUCCGAGGCUAUAAGGGGGGAUAAUAGCCUCUUUUCGAUUUAUGCAAGUUAAUAGCGAAAUUACCUACACACACUUAAGUACACAAAUAGUUGUAUAAUAAUAAUAGUAUAAUAUUGUUAGCAAUACAAUACUAUUAUAUAAUUUUAAAGAAUAUAAUAUUAUAUCUUAUAAUAUUAUAUAUUGGACUUGCCUUUUGCUCUUGAAGUUUACUACAGUAUAUGAAUACGUAGUCAACUUUUCAGAUGGUGUUUUAUAAACAACUAUAGUAUAUGAAUACUAAGUUAUAUUAUAAACACAAGUUAUAUUAUAGAGUAAAUGACUAGAUAACUGGAUAUAUUGAUAAGCAAGUAAAUGACCAGAUAACUGGAUAUAUUGAUAACCAAAUAAAUGACCAGAUAACUGGAUAUAUAUAUGAUAAGUAAAUGCUUGAACAAAUAUAUGAAUAAAGAUUUAAAGCAAAGAAUAUAACCUCAGAUAGUUGACCAGAUAACUGGAUGAGGGAUCUGCGUAAAGUAGUCAACCUCUGUAUUUGACCAGAUAACUGGAAGAGGGAUCCUUUUCAAUUAAGUGUUGUUUAGUUGUUUUUAGAUGAAAGAUAAAAACUAGAGUUAACAAAAAACAAUACAAGAGAUUUAUACCGGUUCACCCAAACAAGGGCUAGUCCAGUCCCGACCAACUGUCGGAAUUCACUCGCCUAAAGGUUAUGGCAAAACCUUAGAGUAUCAAGGAAACUCUUAAGAACUUCUCUAAGCUUUAAGGCUACUUCGCUUAGGAACCAGUCUUUUACGGGUAGACUCACACCUUAGAGUAUCAAGGGCACUCUUAAGAACCUCUAACUUUUGCGGGUAAGUUAGUACCUUAGAGUAUCAAGGAACUCUUAAAAAUCUCUCUAAGCUUUAAGGCUACUUCGCUUAGGAACCAGUCUUUUACGGGUAGACUCACACCUUAGAGUAUCAAGGGCACUCUUAAGAACCUCUAACUUUUACGGGUAAGUUAGUACCUUAGAGUAUCAAGGAACUCUUAAAAACCUCUGAAAUCUUUCAAGGUAGACUCGACCUAAGAGUUUUCCCGGAAACUCUAUAAAACCAAACUAGAGCUUUAUGGUUGAGCUCAAAAACCUUCUCUCACACUUUGGUACUAUUGAAACAACCCUCUCAACCAAAGUGGACACACACAAGAGAGGAGAUUAGAGGAGUGGAAUAUUAAAGCAAACAACACUUCUUACUUGUAAAGAUGAACAAGAAGAUUAGAAGAAGAAGUUGGAGAGCUUUUGAAGCUUUGGAAAGCUAUGACACUUGAGCACUUGAAAGCUUGGAAGCUUGGAGGCAAAAACGUGUGGGCAAGUGUGGAGUGAAAGCUCUUGAGUUUGCUUGUAGUGUGGUGAGUGAAAAUGAGGGGAUUACCCUUCUAUUUAUAGCCUUGGCCACUCAAUGUCCACCCUUGGAUCUUCAAUGGAUGGCUCUUUGAUUUCUCACAUAAAUCCAAGCUUUGUCUUUGAUCUUAUCUUGAAUAGUGCUUUUCUUGGAUAGAGUUUGUUGGAGAAUCUUAUCUUUGUAUAAAUUCAAAC